GACGAACCCUGGCGGCGUGCUUAACACAUGCAAGUCGAACGGAAAGGCCCUGCUUUUGUGGGGUGCUCGAGUGGCGAACUGGUGAGUAACACGUGAGUAACCUGCCCUUGACUUUGGUUUAACUUCAGGAAACUGGGGCUAAUACCGGAUAGGCGCUCCUGCUGCAUGUUGGGGGUUGGACAGUUUCGGCGGUUGGGGAUGGACUCGCGGCUUAUCAGCUUGUUGGUGGGGUAGUGGCUUACCAAGGCUUUGACGGGUAGCCGGCCUGAGAGGGUGACCGGCCACAUUGGGACUGAGAUACGGCCCAGACUCCUACGGGAGGCAGCAGUGGGGAAUAUUGCACAAUGGGCGGAAGCCUGAUGCAGCAACGCCGCGUGCGGGAUGACGGCCUUCGGGGUGUAAACCGCUUUCGCCUGUGACGAAGCGUGAGUGACGGUAAUGGGUAAAGAAGCACCGGCUAACUACGUG
RNAcentral lists this ribosomal RNA (468 nucleotides) under uncultured bacterium. RNAcentral describes it as "partial 16S ribosomal RNA". It matches the Rfam family "Bacterial small subunit ribosomal RNA", at positions 28 to 507 of the family's 1533-position model. The record is from RNAcentral.